GACGAACGCUGGCGGCGUGCUUAACACAUGCAAGUCGAACGGAAAGGCCCUGCUUUUGUGGGGUGCUCGAGUGGCGAACGGGUGAGUAACACGUGAGUAACCUGCCCUUGACUUUGGGAUAACUUCAGGAAACUGGGGCUAAUACCGGAUAGGAGCUCCUGCUGCAUGGUGGGGGUUGGAAAGUUUCGGCGGUUGGGGAUGGACUCGCGGCUUAUCAGCUUGUUGGUGGGGUAGUGGCUUACCAAGGCUUUGACGGGUAGCCGGCCUGAGAGGGUGACCGGCCACAUUGGGACUGGAAUACGGCCCAGACUCCUACGGGAGGCAGCAGGGGGGAAUAUUGCACAAUGGGCGGAAGCCUGAUGCAGCAACGCCGCGGGCGGGAUGACGGCCUUCGGGUUGUAAACCGCUUUCGCCUGUGACGAAGCGUGAGUGACGGUAAUGGGUAAAGAAGCACCGGCUAACUACGUGC
RNAcentral lists this ribosomal RNA (469 nucleotides) under uncultured bacterium. RNAcentral's name for it is "partial 16S ribosomal RNA". It matches the Rfam family "Bacterial small subunit ribosomal RNA", at positions 28 to 508 of the family's 1533-position model. The record is from RNAcentral.